This 488-nucleotide ribosomal RNA is filed under the name uncultured bacterium. RNAcentral's name for it is "bacterial SSU rRNA". It matches the Rfam family "Bacterial small subunit ribosomal RNA", at positions 29 to 526 of the family's 1533-position model. The record is from RNAcentral.
AAUGAACGUUGGCGGCGUGGAUUAGGCAUGCAAGUCGAGCGGACGGAGGAGCUUGCUCCAAAGUUAGCGGCGGAAGGGAUAGUAACGCGUAGAUAACCAACCCCUCGGUCAGGGAUAGCCGUUGGAAACGACGGGUAAUACCUGAUAACAUCCCCGGAUCAAAGGUGAGAUUCCGCCGGGGGACGGGUCUGCGUCCUACUAGCUAGUUGGUGAGGUAACGGCUCACCAAGGCGACGAUGGGUACCGGGCGUCAGAGCGUGACCCGGAUCACUGGGACUGAGACACUGCCCAGACACCUACGGGUGGCUGCAGUCGAGAAUCUUCGGCAAUGGACGAAAGUCUGACCGAGCGACGCCGCGUGAGCGAUGAAGGCCUUCGGGUUGUAAAGCUCUGUAAGUUGGGAGGAAGUGCAUGGGGGCAAUCCCCUGUGCUUGACCUAUCUUCAAAGUAAGGACGGGCUAAGUUCGUGCCAGCCGCCGCAGUAAAAC